RNAcentral lists this transfer RNA (72 nucleotides) under Nitrospinota bacterium. Its description in RNAcentral is "tRNA-Thr". It matches the Rfam family "tRNA". From Rfam's summary of the family: Transfer RNA (tRNA) molecules are approximately 80 nucleotides in length. Their secondary structure includes four short double-helical elements and three loops (D, anti-codon, and T loops). The record is from RNAcentral. Lineage: Bacteria; Pseudomonadati; Nitrospinota. RNAcentral also lists the same sequence under 1 other name.
GCCGGCGUAGCUCAGUGGUAGAGCAGCUGAUUCGUAAUCAGCAGGUCGAUGGUUCAAUCCCAUUCGCCGGCU